This 253-nucleotide ribosomal RNA is filed under the name uncultured bacterium. Its description in RNAcentral is "partial 16S ribosomal RNA". It matches the Rfam family "Bacterial small subunit ribosomal RNA", at positions 524 to 775 of the family's 1533-position model. The record is from RNAcentral.
GACGAACCGUGCGAACGUUAUUCGGAAUCACUGGGCUUAAAGCGCGUGUAGGCGGGACGGCACGUCGGUUGCUGAAAUCCCCCGGCUCAACCGGGGAACGGGCAGCGAUACGACCGUCCUGGAGGGGGGUAGGGGGAGCUGGAACUUCCGGUGGAGCGGUGAAAUGCGUUGAGAUCGGAAGGAACGCCCGUGGCGAAAGCGAGGUCCUGGACGUCUGCUGACGCUGAGACGCGAAAGCUAGGGGAGCAAACGG